GGGGUGCAGCAGGCGCGAAACCUCCGCAAUGUACGAAAGUGCGACGGGGGGAUCCCAAGUGUUAUGCUUUUUUGUAUGACUUUUCAUUAGUGUAAAAAGCUUUUAGAAUAAGAGCUGGGCAAGACCGGUGCCAGCCGCCGCGGUAACACCGGCAGCUCGAGUGGUAGCUGUUUUUAUUGGGCCUAAAGCGUUCGUAGCCGGUUUGAUAAGUCUUUGGUGAAAGCUUGUAGCUUAACUAUAAGAAUUGCUGGAGAUACUAUUAGACUUGAAGUCGGGAGAGGUUAGAGGUACUACCGGGGUAGGGGUGAAAUCCUAUAAUCCUGGGAGGACCACCUGUGGCGAAGGCGUCUAACUGGAACGAUCUUGACGGUGAGUAACGAAAGCCAGGGGCGCGAACCGGAUUAGAUACCCGGGUAGUCCUGGCCGUAAACGAUGUGGACUUGGUGUUGGAAUGGCUUUGAGUUGUUCCGGUGCCGAAGGGAAGCUGUUAAGUCCACCGCCUGGGAAGUACGGUCGCAAGACUGAAACUUAA
RNAcentral lists this ribosomal RNA (532 nucleotides) under uncultured archaeon. RNAcentral describes it as "bacterial SSU rRNA". It matches the Rfam family "Archaeal small subunit ribosomal RNA", at positions 327 to 859 of the family's 1478-position model. The record is from RNAcentral.